UCGACGCCAAGGGGCCGGAGGAACGAAGACCGGCGGGGGAGACGGCGGCGGACGGGUUUGACGUCGCGCCUCCGCUGUUGAUGUUCUUCGGCACCGAGGACGGGCGCCGCCGCUGGUGCGCUAGGGACCGCGGCGGGGGAGGCGUGUCCUCGUAUGGGAGAUUGGGAGUCGGUUGUGGCGGUUGGGGGCGGUUCAAGAACAGGGGAGCGAAGAGAAAAGGAACAUGACCGUUUGCAUCUCCUAUCUGUCCUUUUAUACAGGUCUCAACCGACUUAACCCCCUGACUAGCUAGCUAGUUAUCCCUGUUCACCAAGUCAGAUUCAGCAUCUAAUCGGUUGUCAAGCAGAGUCCUUCGCUGCGAGCCUGCGAAGGCAGCAUCUUCAGUAGAUCAGGCAACUGCGAGCGAAUAUGUGUACCGUGAAGUCGUGAACAACCUAAUGUAAUGCCAACCAGUAGAUCGUUCCCUAUUUGAAUCGAAGGCCAAAAGCCUCAAAUGAGCAUGAAAUUGUACUAAAAACAUAUAAUACCUCCAAAUAUCUUCAAAUUCCAUGAAAAAUAUGGCAUGAUGUCAGAUUAAGGUAAUCACGGAAACAAAACAGUUUGAUGAAAUACUGGAGAAUCGAUUCCAAGAAAUUGGUGUUCUCGAUCUUCUACAAUUGCAAUUGAUAGGUGGUUUCAUUUCAACUUUUCUUUUGCAGAUUGCCAUUGCACACCUAGCUAAAAUUCAGUCAUUCAGGAUGCAGCCAUCCCAAAAAC
This 756-nucleotide long non-coding RNA is filed under the name Setaria viridis. Its description in RNAcentral is "long non-coding RNA (SVIR_LNC005041)". The record is from RNAcentral. Lineage: Eukaryota; Viridiplantae; Streptophyta; Magnoliopsida; Poales; Poaceae.